This 468-nucleotide ribosomal RNA is filed under the name uncultured bacterium. Its description in RNAcentral is "partial 16S ribosomal RNA". It matches the Rfam family "Bacterial small subunit ribosomal RNA", at positions 28 to 507 of the family's 1533-position model. The record is from RNAcentral.
GACGAACGCUGGCGGCGUGCUUAACACAUGCAAGUCGAACGGAAAGGCCCUGCUUUUGUGGGGUGCUCGAGUGGCGAACGGGUGAGUAACACGUGAGUAACCUGCCCUUGACUUUGGGAUAACUUCAGGAAACUGGGGCUAAUACCGGAUAGGAGCUCCUGCUGCAUGGUGGGGGUUGGAAAGUUUCGGCGGUUGGGGAUGGACUCGCGGCUUAUCAGCUUGUUGGUGGGGUAGUGGCUUACCAAGGCUUUGACGGGUAGUCGGCCUGAGAGGGUGACCGGCCACAUUGGGACUGAGAUACGGCACAGACUCCUACGGGAGGCAGCAGUGGGGAAUAUUGCACAAUGGGCGGAAGCCUGAUGCAGCAACGCCGCGUGCGGGAUGACGGCCUUCGGGUUGUAAACCGCUUUCGCCUGUGACGAAGCGUGAGUGACGGUAAUGGGUAAAGAAGCACCGGCUAACUACGUG